GACGAACGCUGGCGGCGUGCCUAAUACAUGCAAGUCGAACGAACCGCGACUAAGUGCUUGCACUAAGUCAAGGUGAGUGGCGAACGGGUGAGUAACACGUGGGUAACCUACCUCAUAGUGGGGGAUAACAGUCGGAAACGACUGCUAAUACCGCAUAGGACAUAGGAUCACAUGAUCCAGUGAGGAAAGGUGGCGCAAGCUAUCGCUAAGAGAUGGACCCGCGGUGCAUUAGCUAGUUGGUAGGGUAAAGGCCUACCAAGGCGAUGAUGCAUAGCCGACCUGAGAGGGUGAUCGGCCACAUUGGGACUGAGACACGGCCCAAACUCCUACGGGAGGCAGCAGUAGGGAAUCUUCCGCAAUGGACGCAAGUCUGACGGAGCAACGCCGCGUGAGUGAAGAAGGUCUUCGGAUCGUAAAGCUCUGUUGUUAGAGAAGAACAGCGCAUAGAGUAACUGUAUGCGUGGACGGAU
Molecule: ribosomal RNA, 470 nt
Filed under: Abiotrophia defectiva
Lineage: Bacteria; Bacillati; Bacillota; Bacilli; Lactobacillales; Aerococcaceae
Description: bacterial SSU rRNA
Rfam family: Bacterial small subunit ribosomal RNA
Source: RNAcentral